RNAcentral lists this ribosomal RNA (216 nucleotides) under Glomeromycotina sp. RNAcentral's name for it is "partial small subunit ribosomal RNA". The stretch from base 40 to 216 matches the Rfam family "Eukaryotic small subunit ribosomal RNA", at positions 686 to 864 of the family's 1831-position model. The record is from RNAcentral. Lineage: Eukaryota; Fungi; Glomeromycota.
GGGUCAGUAGGUUGGUCGUGCCACCGGUACGUACUGGUCUCACUGAUUCCUCCUUCCUGAAGAACCGUAAUGCCAUUAAUUUGGUGUUGCGGGGAAACAGGACUGUUACAUUGAAAAAAUUAGAGUGUUUAAAGCAAGCUAACGCUUGAAUACAUUAGCAUGGGAUAAUGAAAUAGGACGAUCGAUCCUAUUUUGUUGGUUUCUAGGAUUGACGUA